GUUGAAAUACCGGUUCCUGUACGAUCACCGAAGUUAAGCAACGUUUAGCCUUGUUAGUAUCUAGAUGGGUGACCUCUUGGAAAGAAUA
Molecule: non-coding RNA, 88 nt
Organism: Acanthosepion pharaonis
Lineage: Eukaryota; Metazoa; Mollusca; Cephalopoda; Sepiida; Sepiidae
Source: the annotation of a GenBank genome assembly